ACGACGCUGGCGGCGUGCCUAACACAUGCAAGUCAACUUGACUGAAGGAGCAAUCUGACAGUAGAGUGGCGCAAGGGUGCGUAACGCGUAAGUAACUUGCCCAAGGUAAGGAAUAACGUCGAGAAAUCGGCGCUAAUACCUCAUAAUGCAGCGGAUCCGCAUGGAUAUGUUGUUAAAGGUUUACCGCCUUGGGAUAGGCUUGCGUCUGAUUAGCUAGUUGGUGUGGUAACGGCACACCAAGGCUACGAUCAGUAACUGGUCUGAGAGGAUGAUCAGUCACACUGGAACUGAGACACGGUCCAGACUCCUACGGGAGGCAGCAGUGAGGAAUAUUGGGCAAUGCUCGAAAGAGUGACCCAGCAACGCCGCGUGGAGGAUGAGGGUAUUCUAUAUCGUAAACUCCUGUGAGAGCAGACGAAAGACAGAUUAUUAAUCUGGAUGACUGUAUGCUCAGAGGAAGCCCCGGCUAACUACGUG
RNAcentral lists this ribosomal RNA (477 nucleotides) under uncultured bacterium. RNAcentral's name for it is "bacterial SSU rRNA". It matches the Rfam family "Bacterial small subunit ribosomal RNA", at positions 32 to 507 of the family's 1533-position model. The record is from RNAcentral.